AGGUUCUAGAAAAGCGGCGGCAGCGGCUCUAGCGGCAGUAGCAGCAGCGCCGGCUCCCGUGUGGAGGUGCUCUUAGCGGUGUUGUUUCUCGAGCAGCAGCAGCUCUCACUACAGCGCCAGGACGAGUCCGGUUCGUGUUCGUCCGCGGAGAUCUCUCUCAUCUCGCUCGGCUGCGGGAAAUCGGGCUGAGGCGACUGAGUCCGCGAUGGAGAAAACUUUAGAAACUGUUCCUUUGGAGAGGAAAAAGAGAGAAAAGGAACAGUUCCGUAAACUUUUUAUUGGUGGCUUGAGCUUUGAAACCACAGAAGAAAGUUUGAGGAACUACUACGAGCAAUGGGGGAAACUUACAGACUGUGUGGUCAUGAGAGAUCCUGCAAGCAAAAGAUCAAGAGGAUUUGGUUUUGUAACUUUUUCGUCCAUGGCUGAGGUUGACGCUGCCAUGGCUGCAAGACCUCAUUCAAUUGAUGGGAGAGUGGUUGAGCCAAAACGUGCUGUUGCAAGAGAGGAAUCUGGAAAGCCAGGGGCUCACGUAACUGUGAAGAAGCUGUUUGUUGGUGGAAUUAAAGAAGAUACUGAGGAACAUCAUCUUAGAGAUUACUUCGAAGAGUAUGGAAAGAUUGAUACCAUUGAGAUAAUUACUGAUAGGCAGUCUGGAAAGAAAAGAGGCUUUGGAUUUGUUACCUUUGAUGAUCAUGAUCCCGUGGAUAAGAUUGUGUUGCAGAAAUAUCAUACCAUCAAUGGUCAUAAUGCAGAAGUAAGAAAGGCUCUGUCUAGACAAGAAAUGCAGGAAGUCCAGAGUUCUAGAAGUGGAAGAGGAGGCAACUUCGGUUUUGGAGAUUCUCGUGGUGGUGGUGGAAAUUUUGGACCAGGCCCGGGAAGUAACUUUAGAGGAGGAUCUGAUGGAUAUGGAAGUGGUCGCGGAUUUGGGGAUGGCUAUAAUGGGUAUGGAGGAGGACCUGGAGGUGGCAAUUUUGGAGGUAGCCCUGGUUAUGGAGGAGGAAGAGGAGGAUAUGGUGGUGGAGGACCUGGAUAUGGCAACCAGGGUGGGGGCUACGGAGGUGGUUAUGACAACUAUGGAGGAGGAAAUUACGGAAGUGGAAAUUACAAUGAUUUUGGAAAUUAUAACCAGCAACCUUCUAACUAUGGUCCAAUGAAGAGUGGAAACUUUGGUGGUAGCAGGAACAUGGGGGGACCAUAUGGUGGAGGAAACUAUGGUCCUGGAGGCAGUGGAGGAAGUGGGGGUUAUGGAGGGAGAAGCCGAUAUUGAGCUUCUUCCUAUUUGCCAUGGCAUUGAUAUGAACCAUGGACAAGUAUAUUCUGCUGCCACAAAGACUGUAAAGUGCUUCAUUUCAACAGCUGAGGCGCAAGCCAAGUGAUCAUUAAUAAAGCUUUUCUUGGUUCCUUCAGUGGUGUUGGUAGUAAAAUGGAAGGUGUCUUGCUGCAGGUAACUAAUGAAGAAGUGGUCAACCACAGAGUCUUCAAGAAAUAAGAAAUACUGUACCAUCUGAAAGUAGUUCUUGUUGGUGCCUUCAUUUAAAAAAAAAGCACUUUAAGAUUAAAGGGAAAUGUUUUCUGAUAAAAUACAUCAUUUAGUACAGGUUCUUAAUAUAAAACCAUUACAAAUUGAGUACUGUUUGUAAAAGAGUAACAUCAAGUAAGCUAGAGAGAGAAAUGUAUCAUGUUUUAAAUUAGGUUUUGUGAGUAGACAGAUUAAAAUUCUAUUUUAAAUAUAAAGUUUAUAAAAUAAACAGUUUUGUAUUCAAAUACUUGGUGUAAUGUUUACACAUAAAAUGUGUGAAUCUUGUUCUAUCAACUUACAGUUGUCUAAAAGAUUGCCAUCCCCUAGAGUUUUAAAGCAGUUU
This is an RNA transcript of Puma concolor (puma), 1862 nucleotides long. It is a transcript of the gene named heterogeneous nuclear ribonucleoprotein A2/B1, with no coding region annotated. Lineage: Eukaryota; Metazoa; Chordata; Mammalia; Carnivora; Felidae. The record is from RefSeq and is a predicted model, not a curated record.